CGUGCCCAAACUUGACCCCCACAGGGGCAGGGGCAUCCAGCUAGGGCCCACAGUGAGCGAAGCUGCCCAGGGAGGCGUGGCCCCCAUCACCUGCCCAGGCCCGCGGGAGCAGGCCCGGAAGUCCCCAGGUCCCCAGCCAGCUCUGUGGGACCUAACUUAAGCGAGCACAGGAGUCCCCUGUUCUUUGUUCGCCGCCCCUCCUCGUUUCUGCUCUCAAACCUUGCUGCCAGCAGCCCCCGCCAGCGCACCCAACCUACAGGAAAGUUGCUCCGGAGCGGUGGAGGGGCGUCAUCGCCUCCUAGCAACGCUCCUAGCAACCGGGUAACAUCUGCUCCCUCUGGUCCAAUGCGAGCCGAGAGCAGCUGCGCGCCCGCCUCGCGUUCCGAACCCGGAGCGAGAGGCGCUUCAGAGACUGGAGGGACGGAUCCGCAGGAGCCAGGGCUGCCCGCCGAGCUGCAGUUGCCGCCGCUGCCGCUGUCGCUGCCGCUGUCGCGCCGCCACCGCCGUCGCUGUCGCUGUCAGUGCCCGUCUGAAGAGUGACACGCCGCAAAAGCAGGAGGGAGCAUCGAACCCCGCGCCUUUACGAAACAGGUGCAUGCGCUGAUCUCUUGGCGAGGGAACCCAGCUCGCAAGCUUAUCCAACAAAAGUAUUAACAUAUACAUUAACAACGUCGAAAGUAGCCUACUUUAAGAGAAAAUAUGCAGAAGAAGAAGAUUUACAUCAAGAUUACCAUGGGUAUUUUCCAAAACACCUGAUAUUGCCUGAGGACAGGACUUGCAUUCUCAAACUUUCUCUGGAGAAGCUCAGGUUUCUUGAAGACCCAGAAACCUACUUAAGAAGGUCUGUGUUAAUUAACAAUUUGCUGCGGAAGAUCCAUCUAGAGACGGAGAAAGAGAGCUAUGAAUACUUUAAGGAAGCUCCCUGUUAUAAGACUGCUUAUUCUGAUACAAGAAAACGGCUGAAGGUUAUGGUACAGGAAUGCUGCUCUCAGUCUCUCUAUUACGAAGAGCUGCAUUCAUAUCGUAUUGUGCCUUAUGCUUCGGAGAAUGCCAUUUACGGAAUGGGCUACACUCGCAGCCAUUUGGAGCAAAAUUCUCAGUUGCUUAUUUAUAAAAUGAAUUAAAGUAACUGUUAAGUCCAUUGAUACUUUGUUUCUAAAUGCCUGAACUGUUCAUAGUGAAGAUGUUAAAAUAAGGCACUAAUUCCCAGUGUGCUUGAGAUCAAAGAUGAGAUGCAUGCGGAACUGACUGGAGAGAGCCCUGGUUGUUACUCAGCAGUCCUUGUAUCAGCAAGUCAAACUGAAAAUAUGUCCACACAGUAUAAGGCAGCGAAUAAGUACUUUAGAAGCAAAACCUUUUUUUUUUUUUUUUUUUUUUAAGAUAAGCUAUGUAGGAAGGGACCAAUAGCAAGUUCUUAUACAGAUUUAAACAUUUCAAGCCCCUUAUUUUCAGAUUCUGCCACUCUUAGUAGAAAGUAACAGAUUAAGCUCAUAAUGUCAUGUCCCUGAAGGUUGAGGGUGGAAUGAAUUUAAUUUUCUGUAAAUGACGAGAAGGGAAGGUUCUUGCUGAAAUGCUUUGGCUUGUCAAGCACUGUGCCAAAUAAUUGUUUGAUGCCGUUCUCCUUUUACUGUUAGUAACAGUUCAAGAUGGGGCAAAGCUAUUGCAGCGGAGCUGCUGAAUGUAACAACCAGAUAACUCCAAACUGAUCCAUUUUACUUUUUUUUUUUUUUUUUUUGGCUUGAUAGACUUUUCUCUUUACAAGUGAAAUUUAAUAGAAUAGCCUCAUGGCUGGGCUUAUCUCUUAAGUUCUAGGGGUCGGUUACAAUUUGUGGUGGGCCUUUAGUUAAGAGUUUGAACUUUAUUUAUGAUGUCAUUGUUAUAGGCUGUGAAGCUCAGGAAAAGGGUAGGCAGGCAAAAUUUGUUUUUAAUAGGUUGAUAGUUAAAAAAAAUCUUAUCUGCAGAAAUUGAUGAGAACAACAGAAAUUCUACGUGAUGUUAUUUCUUCAUCAAAGAGUGCAUUUAAGGCUGCCUGGAUGAAACUUUGCACUGAUUUUUGUAUAAUAGUUGACCACUCACUAUUUGACAAAAUGUUUCAGAAUGCCUUUGGUGGUGAAGCUUAGAUAAGUCCAUAUAUUUUGCAAUUUGAAAGAUGAUGAUUUAACAAGUUGGAUAGAUUCCUGGAGUUGUUUGAAGUGCUUUGUGAUGUCCUUUGAGGUUUGAAUGAGAUGUCUGAUUUCGAUGUGCAGAGUGAUGUCCGAUGGAGCGUAUCAUUUAAAGAGUUGUCAUUAACUGAUGAAACAGAUUGGGAAAACUAGGUGCCAAAGAAAAUACCAAAGACCCAAAGAUAAGUGUUAGAGAGACCGUGGUAAUGAAGAGAAGAAUCUAAAAUAAGGAUUGCGCAGGACAUAGAAGAACAUUGUUAAAGGGUUUUGGAACCAUUUGCUUACUAAUGUGCUUUCAGAGCGCUUUGUGCAUAGUAGUGAUAAUCACGGACACUGCUUUAAAUGAAGAUGUCAUAGGCCUUCAGUGAUCAUAUGUUUUCACAAAUUUGAAUGUGGUGACUUGUCAAUGUUGUAUCUUCCCUAGUCGAACACCAUCUUGUAACCAAGAAGCCUUUUUCUCUUCAAGCGAGUUCUGUUUUUUGUUUUGAUUCACUACUUGCUCUCUCUAAUGAAGCAUUGGGGUGAUUACAAGCAUGCUUCUGGUAUAAAGGAUAUUGGUGCCCGAAUUAGCAUGUGUUGUUGGAGGCCGCAUAGAUAUAUAACUGAUCAAAGUAGCAGGUUUACAUUGAAUCGCUCAAUUAGAAUUAGGAAAAAACGCUUUACGGCCAACUGAAAAAUUAUAAUUGAGGCUAGUUUUUAAAAGCAAUUUAGUAUGAAUUGUGGGAUAUAUUUUAAAUACAAAUAUGAAUACCGAAAAAUUAAUUUAAGGGCAAAAUUUGGCACCAAAGUUCAAAACUUUGUUUCACUAUUUAUAAAAUACCUUAUUUCUCAGAACACUUUUUUAAAAAUAUAGAUUUCUUAAACAAUGGCGUUGCUAAUUGAAUAAGCUCCAGAUCUGAUAAUUAUACUAUCAUAUAAUUUAAAAAACAGAAUGAUCUCUCUAAUAGUUUUACAUUUUUUUCUGAAAGGAACAUCUGGUUUGGUUUAGGAUAGUGUCUAUAAGAAAAGCACACCAGUGCCAGUUGACAUGACUUACAAAAAUGCCACAUAUUGAAAUUAUUUGAGGAUAGAAAUGCACAUACUUUGGAAUAGAAAAAAGAGGGAGAGAAAAAAAUUACCAGGAAAGUGUAAAAUUGUAAUAUUUCUUGUACGCCAGAAAUCUUAAAGCAAGAACUCUUGGGCAAUGAACCAGUGACAGAUGUAAAGUCUGUUUUAUUUGGUGACGUGGUUAAUUGAGCUCUCUGAUCUAUACAUUCAUAUGUAGAGAAGCAACUGUCUUAGAAACCAGCGGUACUUUUGAAUAUGCUGUUUUAAAAAAAAUAUGUGUUGAUUUCAAAACAAAUUAUUUAAAAAAUAUCUUUUAGAGCAUUUAAUUUCUUUACCAAUAAACAAUUCAUAGAUAAGUAGUUGACUAAUGUUAUUUUGACUUUUUAAAAAAUAAUAAUGUCUAUUUAAGCUACGUAAAUGUUUCUGAGUUAAGCGAUAAGAUUGCUGUCAUUUUACCAUGGCAAAUUCAUAUACUGGGACACCCUGUAUAGACCUGCUCUGCUGACCCCAUCCCACAUGCUCUAUUAUGGGACAGGCAAAGGGAGGAGACCAGUUAUA
Molecule: long non-coding RNA, 3767 nt
Organism: Equus quagga
Lineage: Eukaryota; Metazoa; Chordata; Mammalia; Perissodactyla; Equidae
Exons: 3
Source: RefSeq, a predicted model, not a curated record